GCAGUGGUCAUUCAGUGGUAGAAUUCUCACCUUCCAUGCCGGAGACCCGGAUUUAAUUCCCAGCCAGUGCA
RNAcentral lists this transfer RNA (71 nucleotides) under Loxodonta africana (African savanna elephant). It matches the Rfam family "tRNA". Rfam says of the family: Transfer RNA (tRNA) molecules are approximately 80 nucleotides in length. Their secondary structure includes four short double-helical elements and three loops (D, anti-codon, and T loops). Lineage: Eukaryota; Metazoa; Chordata; Mammalia; Proboscidea; Elephantidae. The record is from Rfam by way of RNAcentral.